AAUACCGGGUGGCGACCGGCGCACGGGUGAGUAACACGUAUCCAACCUGCCGAUGACUCGGGGAUAGCCUUUCGAAAGAAAGAUUAAUACCCGAUGGCAUAGUUCUUCCGCAUGGUGGAACUAUUAAAGAAUUUCGGUUAUCGAUGGGGAUGCGUUCCAUUAGGCAGUUGGUGGGGUAAUGGCCCACCAAACCUUCGAUGGAUAGGGGUUCUGAGAGGAAGGUCCCCCACAUUGGAACUGAGACACGGUCCAAACUCCUACGGGAGGCAGCAUG
RNAcentral lists this ribosomal RNA (274 nucleotides) under uncultured bacterium. RNAcentral's name for it is "partial 16S ribosomal RNA". It matches the Rfam family "Bacterial small subunit ribosomal RNA", at positions 80 to 353 of the family's 1533-position model. The record is from RNAcentral.